RNAcentral lists this ribosomal RNA (184 nucleotides) under uncultured Bdellovibrio sp. RNAcentral's name for it is "partial 16S ribosomal RNA". It matches the Rfam family "Bacterial small subunit ribosomal RNA", at positions 519 to 701 of the family's 1533-position model. Lineage: Bacteria; Pseudomonadati; Bdellovibrionota; Bdellovibrionia; Bdellovibrionales; Pseudobdellovibrionaceae. The record is from RNAcentral.
GGUAAGACGAGGGAUCCUAGCGUUGUUCGGAAUUAUUGGGCGUAAAGCGGGUGUAGGUGGCUAUGUAAGUCAAGUGUGAAAGCCUGGNGNNCAACCCCAGAAGUGCAUUUGAUACUGCGUAGNUNGNNNGCUAGAGAGGAUAGUAGAAUUGUUGGUGUAGUGGUGAAAAUACGUAGAUAUCANC